This 825-nucleotide ribosomal RNA is filed under the name Flavobacterium sp. RNAcentral describes it as "bacterial SSU rRNA". It matches the Rfam family "Bacterial small subunit ribosomal RNA", at positions 109 to 936 of the family's 1533-position model. The record is from RNAcentral. Lineage: Bacteria; Pseudomonadati; Bacteroidota; Flavobacteriia; Flavobacteriales; Flavobacteriaceae.
CGUAACGCGUAUGCAAUCUGCCUUCCCCAGAGGGAUAGCCCAUAGAAAUUUGGAUUAAUACCUCAUAGCAUUACAGGAUGGCAUCAUCCGGUAAUUAAAGACACAACGGGGGAAGAUGAUCAUGCGUCCCAUUAUCUACUUGGUAAGGUAACUGCUUACCCAGGCCACUAUGGGUAGGGGGCCUGACAGGGAGAUCCGCCCCACUGGAACUGACACACUGACCACACUCCUACCGGAGGCAGCAGUGAGGAAUAUUGGACAAUGGGCGCAAACCUGAACCAACCAUGCCGCGUGCGGGAUGACCGUCCUAUGGAUUGUAAACUGCUUUUGUACGGGAAGAAACACUGAUUCGUGAAUCAGCCUGACGGUACCGUAAGAAUAAGGAUCGGCUAACUCCGUGCCAGCAGCCUCGGUAAUACGGAGGAGCCACUCGUUAUCCGGAAUCAUUGGGUUUAAAGGGUCUGUAGGCGGUCUUGUAACUCAGUGGUGAAAGCCCAUCGCUCAACGGUGGAACGGCCAUUGAUACUGCACGACUUGAAUUACCGGGAAGUAACUAGAAUAUGUAGUGUAGCGGUGAAAUGCUUAGAUAUUACAUGGAAUACCAAUUGCGAAGGCAUGUUACUACCGGUGGAUUGACGCUGAUGGACGAAAGCGUGGGGAGCGAACAGGAUUAGAUACCCUGGUACUCCACGCCGUCUACGAUGGAUACUAGCUGCUGACGGCGACUUCAGAGGCUAAGCGAAAGCGAUAACUAUCCCACCUGUGGACUACGAACGCAAGAUUGAAACUCAUNGGAAUUGACGGUGGCACGACCCACUCNGUGCA